Molecule: small nuclear RNA, 92 nt
Filed under: Catagonus wagneri (Chacoan peccary)
Lineage: Eukaryota; Metazoa; Chordata; Mammalia; Artiodactyla; Tayassuidae
Description: U2 spliceosomal RNA (ENSCWAG00000014468.1)
Rfam family: U2 spliceosomal RNA
About the family: U2 is a small nuclear RNA (snRNA) component of the spliceosome (involved in pre-mRNA splicing). Complementary binding between U2 snRNA (in an area lying towards the 5' end but 3' to hairpin I) and the branchpoint sequence (BPS) of the intron results the bulging out of an unpaired adenosine, on the BPS, which initiates a nucleophilic attack at the intronic 5' splice site, thus starting the first of two transesterification reactions that mediate splicing.
Source: Rfam by way of RNAcentral
AUCGCUUCUCGGCCUUUUGGCUAAGAUCAAGUGUAUUAUAUUUGUACUUCAUCAUAAAACAAAAAAUUUUAGGUCUCUAAAACACACCCUCC